GUUAAACGCAAAGAUGUUUCACCGCGAGAUUUACGGUACACUUGUCACGAAGUUGCAACACGCGCGUGUCAAAUGAUAAAACUAGAGAAAAGUAUCGCGGAGACAAACGGUGACAAGUGUCCGCUUCGAUUAAUAUAAUAGAACAGAGUGGACGAACGGUGGGAAGAAUAAGCCGGACCGCAAACGGUUAAAUGCUCAGCGAAAACCACGACAUUGCGACUUGUUUGACAUGCUGCAUAAUUUGUGCAAUCCGACGCGAGACGUGGAUAUUUGAAGUGACUUGCGCGGUGUGGCUAAUAGAAUGCUUCGCUGUUUCAAGGAACAUCGUGAGACGUUCGAGUAUAAAUAUUUUAAACGAAGCCGCCCAGGGCAUCGUGAAAGUCUUGCAGAUAGGCGAGAAGUUGAGGCAUGGUCGGCCGG
RNAcentral lists this unclassified non-coding RNA (420 nucleotides) under Bombus terrestris (buff-tailed bumblebee). RNAcentral's name for it is "misc RNA ENSBTSG00005035016.1". The record is from RNAcentral. Lineage: Eukaryota; Metazoa; Arthropoda; Insecta; Hymenoptera; Apidae.